UUGAAGCCCCGGAAUCGGGCUUGCGGACGAGGGAGCAGUACCCGCACCACGACAAGACUGACUCAGA
This 67-nucleotide non-coding RNA is filed under the name Pseudoclavibacter sp. 8L. Lineage: Bacteria; Bacillati; Actinomycetota; Actinomycetes; Micrococcales; Microbacteriaceae. The record is from RNAcentral.